CUGGGGAGUUAGUGCGAUCGCUUUGCGUCAUUGCAAAGAGGAAAGUCCGGGCUCCAUAGAGCAAGGUGGUCGAUAACGUCGACCGGCCGCAAGGCUAGGGAAAGUGCAACAGAAAGCAAACCGCUGGGCACCUGCUCAGUAAGGGUGAAACGGUGGGGUAAGAGCCCACCAGAGCUCAAGGCGACUUGGGCUGCUAGGUAAACCCCACCUGGAGCAAGAACAAACAGAACGUCAACUCAUCAGCAAGUUUGCUCGUUGGUGAGUGGGCUGCUGCUCGCGGCCUCGCACGUUCGGGUUGAUCGCUCGACGCCGUUAGCAAUGACGGUGCUAGAUAAAUGAUCGCAGCGCUUCGGCGAACAGAACCCGGCUUACGAACCCCCCAGGUCU
This 387-nucleotide RNase P RNA is filed under the name Planctomycetota bacterium. Its description in RNAcentral is "RNase P RNA component class A". It matches the Rfam family "Bacterial RNase P class A". Rfam says of the family: Ribonuclease P (RNase P) is a ubiquitous endoribonuclease, found in archaea, bacteria and eukarya as well as chloroplasts and mitochondria. Its best characterised activity is the generation of mature 5'-ends of tRNAs by cleaving the 5'-leader elements of precursor-tRNAs. Cellular RNase Ps are ribonucleoproteins. The record is from RNAcentral. Lineage: Bacteria; Pseudomonadati; Planctomycetota.